This 468-nucleotide ribosomal RNA is filed under the name uncultured bacterium. RNAcentral describes it as "partial 16S ribosomal RNA". It matches the Rfam family "Bacterial small subunit ribosomal RNA", at positions 28 to 507 of the family's 1533-position model. The record is from RNAcentral.
GACGAACGCUGGCGGCGUGCUUAACACAUGCAAGUCGAACGGAAAGGCCCUGCUUUUGUGGGGUGCUCGAGUGGCGAACGGGUGAGUAACACGUGAGUAACCUGCCCUUGACUUUGGGAUAACUUCAGGAAACUGGGGCUAAUACCGGAUAGGAGCUCCUGCUGCAUGGUGGGGGUUGGAAAGUUUCGGCGGUUGGGGAUGGACGCGCGGCUUAUCAGCUUGUUGGUGGGGGAGUGGCUUACCCAGGCUUUGACGGGUAGCCGGCCUGAGAGGGUGAACGGCCACAUUGGGACUGAGAUACGGACCAGACUCCUACGGGAGGCAGCAGUGGGGAAUAUUGCACAAUGGGCGGAAGCCUGAUGCAGCAGCGCCGCGUGCGGGAUGACGGCCUUCGGGUUGUAAACCGCUUUCGCCUGUGACGAAGCGUGAGUGACGGUAAUGGGUAAAGAAGCACCGGCUAACUACGUG